AGUGAACGCUGGCGGUAUGCCUAACACAUGCAAGUCGAACGGCAGCACAGUAAGAGCUUGCUCUUACGGGUGGCGAGUGGCGGACGGGUGAGGAAUACAUCGGAAUCUACUUUUUCGUGGGGGAUAACGUAGGGAAACUUACGCUAAUACCGCAUACGACCUACGGGUGAAAGUAGGGGAUCUUCGGACCUUGCGCGAUUGAAUGAGCCGAUGUCGGAUUAGCUAGUUGGCGGGGUAAAGGCCCACCAAGGCGACGAUCCGUAGCUGGUCUGAGAGGAUGAUCAGCCACACUGGAACUGAGACACGGUCCAGACUCCUACGGGAGGCAGCAGUGGGGAAUAUUGGACAAUGGGCGCAAGCCUGAUCCAGCCAUACCGCGUGGGUGAAGAAGGCCUUCGGGUUGUAAAGCCCUUUUGUUGGGAAAGAAAAGCAGCAGGUUAAUACCCCGCUGUUCUGACGGUACCCAAAGAAUAAGCACCGGCUAACUUCGUG
This 492-nucleotide ribosomal RNA is filed under the name uncultured bacterium. RNAcentral describes it as "partial 16S ribosomal RNA". It matches the Rfam family "Bacterial small subunit ribosomal RNA", at positions 29 to 507 of the family's 1533-position model. The record is from RNAcentral.